GACGAACGCUGGCGGCGUGCUUAACACAUGCAAGUCGAACGGAAAGGCCCUGCUUGCAGGGUACUCCAGUGGCGAACGGGUGAGUAACACGUGGGUGAUCUGCCCUGCACUUCGGGAUAAGCCUGGGAAACUGGGUCUAAUACCGGAUAGGAGCCAUUUUUAGUGUGAUGGUUGGAAAGUUUUUUCGGUGUAGGGUGAGCUCGCGGGCUAACGGCUUGUUGGGGGGGUAAUGGCCUACCAAGGCGGCGACGGGUAGCCGGACUGCGAGGGUGGGCGGCCACAUUGGGACUGAGAUGCGGCCCAGACGCCGACGGGAGGCAGCAGGGGGGAAUAUUGCACAAUGGGCGCAAGCCUGGUGCAGCGACGCCGCGUGGGGGAAGACGGCCUUCGGGUUGUAAACUCCUUUCGCUAGGGACGAAGCUUUUUGUGACGGUACCUAGAUAAGAAGCACCGGCUAACUACGUG
Molecule: ribosomal RNA, 465 nt
Filed under: uncultured bacterium
Lineage: Bacteria
Description: partial 16S ribosomal RNA
Rfam family: Bacterial small subunit ribosomal RNA
Source: RNAcentral